This 68-nucleotide transfer RNA is filed under the name Cryptonema producta. Its description in RNAcentral is "tRNA-Pro". The record is from RNAcentral. Lineage: Eukaryota; Metazoa; Mollusca; Bivalvia; Venerida; Veneridae.
UCAAGUUAUAGUUUAUUAAAAAUAUUAGUUUUGGGAAUUAAAGAAGUGAAAUUUUUCAUUGACUUGAU